Molecule: ribosomal RNA, 301 nt
Filed under: uncultured bacterium
Lineage: Bacteria
Description: partial 16S ribosomal RNA
Rfam family: Bacterial small subunit ribosomal RNA
Source: RNAcentral
CAGUCGCCGCGGUAAUCCGUAGGGUGCAAGCGUUAAUCGGAAUUACUGGGCGUAAAGCGUGCGCAGGCGGUUUGUUAAGACAGAUGUGAAAUCCCCGGGCUCAACCUGGGAACUGCAUUUGUGACUGGCAAGCUAGAGUGUGGCAGAGGGGGGUGGAAUUCCGCGUGUAGCAGUGAAAUGCGUAGAUAUGCGGAGGAACACCGAUGGCGAAGGCAGCCCCCUGGGCCAACACUGACGCUCAUGCACGAAAGCGUGGGGAGCAAACAGGAUUAGAUACCCGAGUAGUCCCUGUCUCUUAUAC